Molecule: ribosomal RNA, 253 nt
Filed under: uncultured bacterium
Lineage: Bacteria
Description: partial 16S ribosomal RNA
Rfam family: Bacterial small subunit ribosomal RNA
Source: RNAcentral
UACGGGGGGGGCAAGCGUUGUUCGGAAUUACUGGGCGUAAAGGGCUCGUAGGCGGCCAACUAAGUCCGACGUGAAAUCCCCAGGCUUAACCUGGGAACUGCGUCGGAUACUGGAUGGCUUGAAUUCGGGAGAGGGAUGCGGAAUUCCAGGUGUAGCGGUGAAAUGCGUAGAUAUCUGGAGGAAUACCGGUGGCGAAGGCGGCAUCCUGGACCGACAUUGACGCUGAUGAGCGAAAGCUAGGGGAGCAAACAGG